ACAAGCUCGCUUUCAGCGUUGUUCUGAGAGUGGUGUAUGUGGUGGGGAUUGGCCCAUUUUAAUUUAAUUGCUUGGUAUAUUUCCAGCUAAAUUCCUUGCCUGUUAAGAUACCGGCAGAGGUUUACUCGGCUUUCUGAGACCUACCAUUUGCCAUCUGGAGGAAUCCUUACCGCCUCUCUUCUCUUUCCUCAUUCAAACACCAAUAACCAGCUGAGGUCAGCUAAUCUUCCCAUGGAGAACGCCAGCUUGGGGUCAGGAACAACUCUGCACUUGAGUCCUGCCUGCCACCUCUUGCCAGGUUAUGUGUCAUUGGAGAACAAUGCACCUGAUGUGAUCCCUCUUCACCUACUGCAGCAGCUGGAGAAUUACUUGGAUCUUCCUGGUUAUGCAUCAUCCUGGCUCAGUGAAACCAGCUGAGAUGCAAGAGAAGGGGGAGAUCCUGCUGGUUUAUAGUUCCCCAAGUCUCCACUUUGCCCUGGGGAAGUGGGACACCAGCCUUCAGAUACCCUGAGUAGGAAGCAGCUCCUGGAAUGGGUAGAUUUUCCUGGAUAUGGUGCUGGGUGGCUUCCAGGGGUUUUUCUGGACCACUUCUGUUCUUGGAAAUAAACAUUUCACCAACA
This is a long non-coding RNA of Cavia porcellus (domestic guinea pig), 620 nucleotides long. RefSeq lists it as uncharacterized. The record is from RefSeq and is a predicted model, not a curated record. NCBI's taxonomy places the organism in Eukaryota, Metazoa, Chordata, Mammalia, Rodentia, Caviidae. The transcript is spliced from 3 exons.